AUACAUAUAAAUUUUUAAUAUUCACUUAAUUUCAACUGUAGCAUUUACUGACAUAAAAAUGUACAACAGAAAAUAAUAAUUUACAUAUUAUGUAAACGAAUCAGCUUAAUAUCAGUUUUUAACGAUAUGCAAAGUAUAAGUCCUUUUAUGGUAUUUUAUAUUCUGUAUUAUAUUCGUCGUAUGAUAAUCGUUCAUAAAUAAUGUAGUUUAUAUAAUAAUAUAUUUCAUCUUACAUUAACAAUCACCGCGUGACACCAUUCUUGCGCCCAGACGUCACAGAAAGAUGCACGUUACAAACGUACAAACAUACUUUUUCCCUAGUUAAGAAACUUCUCAGAUUUUUAUUAUCGAAAUACCGCGCUAUGAAGUAUGCGUGUAUUUCGUAAAGGCAUCGUGCACGUGUUAAAAAAAAAUCGGUAAGGCAAUUAACAUUUCUCUGUUAUCACGGUUGACGAUUUUCGCGUCGUGAUGCACCGAUGCCACUCAUUCUCUUUCAUUCCAAUUCUUUGUCCAGUUAAAUCGUCAUUGCAAACCAUUAUGAAUUUCGAUACUCACAUCUGCGCAUACAAUAUACACGUCCACAACUUUUUCGUAGUUCGUUGAUUCGUUCAUUAUCCUUCUAUGGAAACCAGGUGACUGAUUGCCAGAUGUGAUUCUACUACAAAGACUUUGUACUUCACAAAUGCAUUUUUCAAUUACAUUUAAUGAUGUAAUUUAAUGAACCGACGCGUGCUCUAAGGUAAAUGUAGACAGUCUUCCUCAUUUAUCGAAGAUGUAAAAAGCACCGGAGUAGUUAACAAAGCUAUUGUCUAGUGUCUGAUUAUUUUUUUUGCAUCGAUGUCAUUGAUUUCUUUCUUACCCUUUGUCUAAGUACUCAAAGUAUUCGUAAUAUGCGAAUCGUUAAGCACCUGCUUCUUGACGUGGGAUUUACCUAGAGGAAAAGGAGGAAAAGGGGGAAGAAAACUUAGACGCAUAGACCGGUUUAUGGAACUGGGUAAUUCGGUAAUCGUUAGAUUACGCGCGUCCCAUCGCCCUGACGCAGAGCAAGUGCCGCACAGUUUUCGUGCUGUUAGAACGGCCUUGUCGGAUGAAAGUACUCAAGGUAUCGUCGCAAUUCCAUAUUCAUAAUGUAGAGUAAUUAGUACAGAGAAAGAGAAGGCUGUACCAGAGCUUCCGGUUUGUUAUCAAUAAAAAUAUCUAAAAUUUAUUGCAAAAAAUAAUCAUAUUUCGAUGUUCUCAGUACCUUACCACCACCUGUAUUUUUUUAAUUCAUUUCAUUUCUAGGAUAUCAAGUAAUGUACAUUGACAUGUUAAAGAAUAUAGUUGUAAAAUGAAAUAAUAAACUGUAAGAUGAGAUGA
Molecule: long non-coding RNA, 1359 nt
Organism: Ceratina calcarata
Lineage: Eukaryota; Metazoa; Arthropoda; Insecta; Hymenoptera; Apidae
Exons: 2
Source: RefSeq, a predicted model, not a curated record